RNAcentral lists this transfer RNA (74 nucleotides) under Perccottus glenii (Chinese sleeper). RNAcentral's name for it is "tRNA-Leu". It matches the Rfam family "tRNA". From Rfam's summary of the family: Transfer RNA (tRNA) molecules are approximately 80 nucleotides in length. Their secondary structure includes four short double-helical elements and three loops (D, anti-codon, and T loops). Further hydrogen bonds mediate the characteristic L-shaped molecular structure. tRNAs have two regions of fundamental functional importance: the anti-codon, which is responsible for specific mRNA codon recognition, and the 3' end, to which the tRNAs corresponding amino acid is attached (by aminoacyl-tRNA synthetases). tRNAs cope with the degeneracy of the genetic code in two manners: having more than one tRNA (with a specific anti-codon) for a particular amino acid; and 'wobble' base-pairing, i.e. permitting non-standard base-pairing at the 3rd anti-codon position. The record is from RNAcentral. Lineage: Eukaryota; Metazoa; Chordata; Actinopteri; Gobiiformes; Odontobutidae.
GUUAAGGUGGCAGACCCCGGAUAGUGCAAAAGACCUAAACUCUUUAUAUAAAGGUUCAAAUCCUUUUCUUAACU